GUGUCAGUCGCCGCGGUAAUACGUAGGGUGCGAGCGUUAAUCGGAAUUACUGGGCGUAAAGCGUGCGCAGGCGGUUAUGUAAGACAGUUGUGAAAUCCCCGGGCUCAACCUGGGAAUUGCAUCUGUGACUGCAUAGCUAGAGUACGGUAGAGGGGGAUGGAAUUCCGCGUGUAGCAGUGAAAUGCGUAGAUAUGCGGAGGAACACCGAUGGCGAAGGCAAUCCCCUGGACCUGUACUGACGCUCAUGCACGAAAGCGUGGGAGCAAACAGGAUUAGAUACCCUGGUAGUCCACGCCCUAAACGAUGUCAACUGGUUGUUGGGUGCAUUAGUACUCAGUAACGAAGCUAACGCGUGAAGUUGACCG
Molecule: ribosomal RNA, 365 nt
Filed under: uncultured bacterium
Lineage: Bacteria
Description: bacterial SSU rRNA
Rfam family: Bacterial small subunit ribosomal RNA
Source: RNAcentral